Molecule: long non-coding RNA, 410 nt
Organism: Drosophila eugracilis
Lineage: Eukaryota; Metazoa; Arthropoda; Insecta; Diptera; Drosophilidae
Exons: 2
Source: RefSeq, a predicted model, not a curated record
UUUAUUUAAUGCUUUGCAUGAAAAACGCCAAAUGUUUCACAAAACAUUUGUUACGGAAGAAAAUAUAUUAAAUUUUAAAAAGCGUAAAAGAUAAUUACCUUAUAAAUUAUUCGUUGUACUGCCCUAGAACUUUGGAACAAAUUGCAGUUGCAAGUGCGAGAAUUAUGCACUCGGUCCAUUGAGCUGCGCGUAUUGCGUCAUUAAGCACACAGGAUCCACAGGAUGCUGAGUCCGGGAUCCUGAGGAGCAAAAGGGCAGCGACUGGACAGACCAGACGCAGUCGAGUGCAUUUGCAUAAUUUACAAAGUUUGCCGGCAUAUUGGUCAAGUUUCUCACAUUGUUUCCAAUUUUUCGGAGACUUGCCACUGCCUGUUUAUUAAGUCAUCAAUUAAAGGGGCGGGCAAAAGUUG